UUAUUUUUCCCUAAUUUUUCCUUGUGAUGUUCGCUAUUCCUUUUCUUCUUUUCUUCUCUUCACUUUUUCUUUUUUUUUUCUCCCUUUUCCUUUCUCUUCCUUUUUCCCAGCCGUCGCACCAUUGUAGCCACCAUAUUCAUCCACCAUCCUUGAUUUUCCACUGCUGUUUAUAUUCCUUGAACCGUCGAAUCCCUUUCCUUUAUCGAAUCAUCCUCUUUUCGUUUGGAUUUCGUUAGUGUUUAGAUCUGUUGAUGAAAAUUAUUGUUAUCUUUAACCAGAGGGUGUUUAUCCGCAUAUUUCCUGGUAGUUCAUCUACAAAUCUACUGGCGGUUCGUUCGCAUAUCUACUGGUGGUAUAUCCACACGAGCUUUUCCUCAAACUGCUAUAGUGUAUAGGGUUGGACGAGUUUUGGGGGACUCUUACUGUGGAGUGUAGCGGAUUGAUAGGUUAAGGUUCGAACUCGGCAUUCGGAGCACUGUCGUCGGUUUUCCUUAAAAAGGUAGUUCUAAAUUGUUUUAUUAAUUAUUUUGGAUUUUGCAGUGCUUUAAAAAGACUGUGGCAUGGAAUUUAAUAUUUUAUUUGGGUGUUUGAAUUGGGGAUUUGACAUUAUAUGCUUUUGAUGAAAAACUCAAAUUUGGAUAAGGUUUAUAUGAUUUUAUUUUAAAUUGUUUGAAAGUGAGUAAAAUAUGAUUUUUCUUUCAACUUGGAACUAAAAGAAAAAUGAACAAGAUAAUUAAAUAAACUAGCGUUUCUUAAAAUGUAUUAAAAUUAUAAAUGAGACUUUUGGAAACCAAACAGAAUUAUUUUUCUACAAAGUGAUCUUCAUUAGUUUUAUAGAGUGAUGAAUAUUAACUAUAUGUAAUCUCUUCUAAAUAAGUUUGAGAUUUUAUAACUUAAAAUCAUUAUAUUGAAUCUGAAUGUUUUUUUGGGCCAUUCGAUGGCUAAUGUAAUUUUCACGAUUCGACCAUAACGUCUGGGUUGGGUUGGAAAUGUUACACUAUUCAUGUGUCAGUGUCUGUCACGUUAAAAAGUGUGGGUAAAUUUUUUCUAUGGUUAAAUUGGUAAAUAUUGGAAAUAUUUUAUUAUUUUGUUUAGCCAUAUUGUCGGGGCUUUGCUUGUAAUUUUCUAAUAAGGGCUUUUGAAAGCUCAAUUUUCCCUUCCUCAUAUUUUCCUCAUGUGCCACUCAUGCUAGGGCUAAAGCCCUAAGAUGUUACCAACCCUAGAUAUAAAUACAUAUUUUUUUAAUGCUGGCCACCUUUUAUUUUUCCCUAAUUUUUCCUUAUGCUUCCCUCUCUUCCUCUUCUUCUUUUCUUCUCUUUUCUCCCUUUUCUUUUCUCUUCCAUUUUUCUGGUCGCCACACCAUUGUAGCCACUGUAUUCAUCCACCAUCCUUGAUUUGCUAAUGCUCUUUACAUUCUUUGAAUCACUGAAUCCCUUUCCUUUACCAAAACAUCCUCUUUUCAUUUGGAUUUCGUUGGUGUUUAGAUCUGUCGAUGAAAACCAUCGUUAUCUUCAGCCGUAGGGGGUAAGUGUAAUCUAUAUCAAUGGUUAAAUCUCAAUUUUUGAUUGUAUGAAUGAGUUAUGUUUUUCUUUUCAUUUGGCUUAACCGAUCUCUUUCGAAUUUAUGUCAAAAGCCUUAAUAUCGAUUGCUAACUUGCGUAUUUUUUGUGAAAUAUGUUGUUUGAAGGAUCAAAUCAGAUUUGAACGUGUGGAGUGCCAAAUGAACUUGUGGUGAAAGGUAUGUGUCCUACCCAUGAAAAUUGGUGGCAAAUCGUAUGUGAUUUUGGGGCCAUAUGGUCUACCACAAGGGCGUGCGUCCAAGACAGUUGGUCGACACGACCAUGUGCUACUGUAACAUUAGAGUAUUUUCACUAUCACAUAGCCACAACUAGUUACACGGCCAGCCACACGUCCAUGUUUCUAUCGUUGGGGAUUUUUGUUACUGACCACACGACUUCAGAGAGCUACACGGCCACGUACCUCAAUAUCACACAAUUUCAGCCUUUUCAUACGUCCUGGCCACGCGACCGUGUGACCACUGUUUUACAGUUUUGCCUUGAUUUUUGUGAAAUGUUUCAAUUUAUUCCCUGUAUAAUCCCUAACUUGUUUUGGAGUUUUCGUAGGCUCAAUUGAGACCCUGUUACCAUAAUUGUUUUGAAAUAUGUGAUAUGUUUGAUUAUGUGUUAAAUCUGAAAUUACUACUGAUAAAUAUUUAUUGCUACUGUUAAAACUACUACCGCUGCUGUUUGGAUGAUAAUCACAUGAUCAUAUUGUUAUUA
Molecule: long non-coding RNA, 2278 nt
Organism: Gossypium raimondii (Peruvian cotton)
Lineage: Eukaryota; Viridiplantae; Streptophyta; Magnoliopsida; Malvales; Malvaceae
Exons: 3
Source: RefSeq, a predicted model, not a curated record